CAGUAGCCGCGGGAAUACGUAGGGUGCAAGCGUUAGUCGGAAUUACUGGGCGUAAAGCGUGCGCAGGCGGUUUUGUAAGACAGAGGUGAAAUCCCCGGGCUCAACCUGGGAACUGCCUUUGUGACUGCAAGGCUAGAGUACGGCAGAGGGGGAUGGAAUUCCGCGUGUAGCAGUGAAAUGCGUAGAUAUGCGGAGGAACACCGAUGGCGAAGGCAAUCCCCUGGGCCUGUACUGACGCUCAUGCACGAAAGCGUGGGGAGCAAACAGGAUUAGAUACCCCCGUAGUCCCUGUCUCUUAUAC
This 301-nucleotide ribosomal RNA is filed under the name uncultured bacterium. RNAcentral's name for it is "partial 16S ribosomal RNA". It matches the Rfam family "Bacterial small subunit ribosomal RNA", at positions 509 to 807 of the family's 1533-position model. The record is from RNAcentral.